UCAAUUUCUCUCUUCAUCUUUGCCAAAACCUACAGUUUCAAACUCUUAAUCUAAUUCUCACUAGCAUUUUCCCUUAAAAACCAACAAACACAACGUUUUGGCUUUAGGAAGUUACAAAUCUCACAGCUAUCUCCACCAUAAAGCCCACUUCCUAUUAAAUUAAUUCCCACCACUAUCUCCACCAUAAUUCCAACCACUAUAUCUAUAUCUAUAUCUACAUCAAUUUCUCUCUUCAUCUUUGCCAAAACCUACAGUUUCAAACUCUUAAUCUAAUUCUCACUAGCAUUUUCCCUUAAAAACCAACAAACACAACGUUUCGGCUUUAGGAAGUUACAAAUCUCACCUCUAUCUCCACCAUAAAGCCCACUUCCUAUUAAAUUAAUUCCCACCACUAUCUCCACCAUAAUUCCCACCACUAUAUCUAUAUAUCUAUAUCUAUAUCUACAUCAGUUUCUCUCUUCAUCUUUGCCAAAACCUACAAUUUCAAACUCUUAAUCUAAUUCUCACUAGCAUUUUCCCUUAAAAACCAACAAACACAACGUUUCAGCUUUUGGAAGUUACAAAUCUCACCUCUAUCUCCACCAUAAAUCCUACUUCUUAUUAAUUUAAUUCUCACCUCUAUCUCCACCAUAAAACCCAUUUAUUAAUUCUCACCACUAUCUCCACCAUAAUUCUCAACACUAUAUCUAUAUCUUUAUUUAUAUCAAUUUCUCUCUUCAUCUUUGCCAAAACCUACAGUUUCAAACUCUUAAUCUAAUUCUCACCAGCAUUUUCCCUUAAAAACCAACAAACACAAUGUUCCGGCCUUAGGAAGUUACAAAUUUGUACCUUUCAUAUUCCUUCUCCCUCAACUUCUUUCUUUAUCUCUCUCUAUGUUCUUCUCUAUGUCCCUCUAUCUAAAAUGCCAAAGCAACCUUCUCUCAUUAUACAACCCUUCCUUUUUCUUACCUCUCGCCUUUCUUUGAAUCUAACAACGAUGAAGAAGCAUGAUGGUUGAAUCUGAACUGUUUAAAUUGGAGCUAUUGACAAUGAUGUUGUUGAAGGCGAGAAUGGCCUUGAUGAUCGCCUCCUAGGCUAUUUGUUUCUCCAACCUAGAAGACCGAGUCAUCUUGCACAAUGAUUUAAAGGCUUCCCAAUAGAUCUUGAAUUGGCAAGCAAGCAGAAGCUACCUUUAAUAGUUUCAAGAAAUUCAUUUUAAUUCAAGGUCAUCACAGCUGUUGGCCAAUAUCCUGUACUCAUGGGCCUAUCUGUUGGGAACAUAAUUGCUUGAUGAGAUGAAAUGAGCAGUAUUACCAACAAAAUAAAGAAAAAAAGAGAAAGGGAGAACUAAGGCUGUGGGCCAUAAUAGGACUAUAUAAUGGUUGUUGGAGCAUCAAAGCCAACUGCAAUGGCUGAUGCUGAUAAGUUUUCCAGUAUGAAAAGGUUUAAAGAAAAGAGAUGGGACUCUAGAAGGAGGAUGCUUGGGUGAAGAUUGUUAGGUGAAUGAUCUCCAAAAUCAUAUAAGUGUAGAAUAUAUUUAUGCAAUGAGGUUUAUUUAUAUGUAAUAAUUUAUAAUAAAAAAUAACUUUAAUUUAUAUGUAAUAUGAAGUCGUAUAGAUUUGUUGGUGCAAAAAUGAAAGUAGAUUUUGCAUAAAAUUCUCUCAUUGCCUUGAUUUUUUUUAUUAAAAAAAUUACCAUCUUUAUUUUUAUGUUGUAUUCUCUUUUUUCUUUUAGUUUAUUUUUGCUGGGCUAAUUAGGCUCUUAUUGAUAUUUGAUUUCCUUUAAGCUCAUAUUCCAUGUUAAUUAGAA
Long non-coding RNA from Quercus robur (English oak), 1788 nucleotides. RefSeq lists it as uncharacterized. The record is from RefSeq and is a predicted model, not a curated record. Lineage: Eukaryota; Viridiplantae; Streptophyta; Magnoliopsida; Fagales; Fagaceae. The transcript is spliced from 6 exons.